Molecule: non-coding RNA, 206 nt
Filed under: Holdemanella biformis
Lineage: Bacteria; Bacillati; Bacillota; Erysipelotrichia; Erysipelotrichales; Erysipelotrichaceae
Description: Eubacterium biforme T-box sequence
Rfam family: T-box leader
About the family: Uncharged tRNA acts as the effector for transcription antitermination of genes in the T-box leader family.
Source: RNAcentral
UUCAAAGCAAUGAAAAGAAAUAGUAAGAUAGUACUGCUUUAAGAGACUUUCUGGUUGGUGCAAAGAAAGAGUAAGGCUAUUUGAACACGUCUUGGAGCUGUAAAGAUGAAAAUAGUAGUUUUUAACGUAUUCCUGGCGUUAUCAGGUUUGAGGCUAUGAAUAGCGAAAUAAGGUGGAACCACGUAAGUUAAACUUUCGUCCUUAGG